CCUGCCCCUAGAAGCAUUGCAGGGGUGGCUGCUGUACCACAUGUUGGGUCAGUAGGUGACAGAGAAGAGAAAGACUAUGACUCCUCUUAGUAUUCAGAACUAUGAAUAUCUAAAUGAUUAGUAGCCUAACAUU
This is a small nucleolar RNA of Acomys russatus (golden spiny mouse), 133 nucleotides long. RefSeq annotates it as small nucleolar RNA SNORA17. Lineage: Eukaryota; Metazoa; Chordata; Mammalia; Rodentia; Muridae. The transcript has a single exon. The record is from RefSeq and is a predicted model, not a curated record.